Molecule: ribosomal RNA, 354 nt
Filed under: Triticum aestivum (bread wheat)
Lineage: Eukaryota; Viridiplantae; Streptophyta; Magnoliopsida; Poales; Poaceae
Description: partial small subunit ribosomal RNA
Source: RNAcentral
AUGAGGAAUGAGAUGGUGUGGAUGUGUCCAACCGACGACGAUGUGAGGAAUGGCCAAGUCGAGCAUGUCACUGAAGAGGCGUCCGAGAGGAGGCCCACUCACCUUGCAUGGCUGAAGGAUAAAAGAAAACAAUGGCCAGCAGCCGGCGACAGAGGGAAGAACCGCCGUGCCCGGAGGAGCGACGGGCUUCCUAUUUCCGUGUCGUGCCGGACCCGUGCGCACGCUAUGGCGACCACGCUGGAGAAGCUGAUGAGGGAGGAGUGCAGUGCGCCUGCGACGCCGGCGGGAGGUGUGCCUCCACCAUGGAGAUCACAUCGGCAUCAGGCCGAAGGCGGGAUCCGGGAACAUCGCUAG